This 77-nucleotide ribosomal RNA is filed under the name Enterobacter cloacae. Its description in RNAcentral is "partial 16S ribosomal RNA". The record is from RNAcentral. Lineage: Bacteria; Pseudomonadati; Pseudomonadota; Gammaproteobacteria; Enterobacterales; Enterobacteriaceae.
AUUCAUGACUGGGGUGAAGUCGUAACAUGGUAUCCGGAGGGGAACGUGCGGUUGGAUCACCUCCUUCCCUUAAAGAA